GAUCCUGGCUCAGGAUGAACGCUAGCGGCAGGCUUAACACAUGCAAGUCGAGGGGCAGCACGAGGUAGCAAUACUUUGGUGGCGACCGGCGCACGGGUGCGUAACGCGUAUGCAACCUACCUUUAACAGGGGCAUAACACUGAGAAAUUGGUACUAAUUCCCCAUAACAUUCGAGAAGGCAUCUUCUUGGGUUAAAAACUCCGGUGGUUAAAGAUGGGCAUGCGUUGUAUUAGCUAGUUGGUGAGGUAACGG
Molecule: ribosomal RNA, 252 nt
Filed under: uncultured bacterium
Lineage: Bacteria
Description: partial 16S ribosomal RNA
Rfam family: Bacterial small subunit ribosomal RNA
Source: RNAcentral